This 2750-nucleotide ribosomal RNA is filed under the name Escherichia coli. RNAcentral's name for it is "partial 23S ribosomal RNA". It matches the Rfam family "Bacterial large subunit ribosomal RNA". Lineage: Bacteria; Pseudomonadati; Pseudomonadota; Gammaproteobacteria; Enterobacterales; Enterobacteriaceae. The record is from RNAcentral.
CGGUGGAUGCCCUGGCAGUCAGAGGCGAUGAAGGACGUGCUAAUCUGCGAUAAGCGUCGGUAAGGUGAUAUGAACCGUUAUAACCGGCGAUUUCCGAAUGGGGAAACCCAGUGUGUUUCGACACACUAUCAUUAACUGAAUCCAUAGGUUAAUGAGGCGAACCGGGGGAACUGAAACAUCUAAGUACCCCGAGGAAAAGAAAUCAACCGAGAUUCCCCCAGUAGCGGCGAGCGAACGGGGAGCAGCCCAGAGCCUGAAUCAGUGUGUGUGUUAGUGGAAGCGUCUGGAAAGGCGCGCGAUACAGGGUGACAGCCCCGUACACAAAAAUGCACAUGCUGUGAGCUCGAUGAGUAGGGCGGGACACGUGGUAUCCUGUCUGAAUAUGGGGGGACCAUCCUCCAAGGCUAAAUACUCCUGACUGACCGAUAGUGAACCAGUACCGUGAGGGAAAGGCGAAAAGAACCCCGGCGAGGGGAGUGAAAAAGAACCUGAAACCGUGUACGUACAAGCAGUGGGAGCCUCUUUAUGGGGUGACUGCGUACCUUUUGUAUAAUGGGUCAGCGACUUAUAUUCUGUAGCAAGGUUAACCGAAUAGGGGAGCCGAAGGGAAACCGAGUCUUAACUGGGCGUUAAGUUGCAGGGUAUAGACCCGAAACCCGGUGAUCUAGCCAUGGGCAGGUUGAAGGUUGGGUAACACUAACUGGAGGACCGAACCGACUAAUGUUGAAAAAUUAGCGGAUGACUUGUGGCUGGGGGUGAAAGGCCAAUCAAACCGGGAGAUAGCUGGUUCUCCCCGAAAGCUAUUUAGGUAGCGCCUCGUGAACUCAUCUCCGGGGGUAGAGCACUGUUUCGGCAAGGGGGUCAUCCCGACUUACCAACCCGAUGCAAACUGCGAAUACCGGAGAAUGUUAUCACGGGAGACACACGGCGGGUGCUAACGUCCGUCGUGAAGAGGGAAACAACCCAGACCGCCAGCUAAGGUCCCAAAGUCAUGGUUAAGUGGGAAACGAUGUGGGAAGGCCCAGACAGCCAGGAUGUUGGCUUAGAAGCAGCCAUCAUUUAAAGAAAGCGUAAUAGCUCACUGGUCGAGUCGGCCUGCGCGGAAGAUGUAACGGGGCUAAACCAUGCACCGAAGCUGCGGCAGCGACGCUUAUGCGUUGUUGGGUAGGGGAGCGUUCUGUAAGCCUGUGAAGGUGUGCUGUGAGGCAUGCUGGAGGUAUCAGAAGUGCGAAUGCUGACAUAAGUAACGAUAAAGCGGGUGAAAAGCCCGCUCGCCGGAAGACCAAGGGUUCCUGUCCAACGUUAAUCGGGGCAGGGUGAGUCGACCCCUAAGGCGAGGCCGAAAGGCGUAGUCGAUGGGAAACAGGUUAAUAUUCCUGUACUUGGUGUUACUGCGAAGGGGGGACGGAGAAGGCUAUGUUGGCCGGGCGACGGUUGUCCCGGUUUAAGCGUGUAGGCUGGUUUUCCAGGCAAAUCCGGAAAAUCAAGGCUGAGGCGUGAUGACGAGGCACUACGGUGCUGAAGCAACAAAUGCCCUGCUUCCAGGAAAAGCCUCUAAGCAUCAGGUAACAUCAAAUCGUACCCCAAACCGACACAGGUGGUCAGGUAGAGAAUACCAAGGCGCUUGAGAGAACUCGGGUGAAGGAACUAGGCAAAAUGGUGCCGUAACUUCGGGAGAAGGCACGCUGAUAUGUAGGUGAAGCGACUUGCUCGUGGAGCUGAAAUCAGUCGAAGAUACCAGCUGGCUGCAACUGUUUAUUAAAAACACAGCACUGUGCAAACACGAAAGUGGACGUAUACGGUGUGACGCCUGCCCGGUGCCGGAAGGUUAAUUGAUGGGGUUAGCGCAAGCGAAGCUCUUGAUCGAAGCCCCGGUAAACGGCGGCCGUAACUAUAACGGUCCUAAGGUAGCGAAAUUCCUUGUCGGGUAAGUUCCGACCUGCACGAAUGGCGUAAUGAUGGCCAGGCUGUCUCCACCCGAGACUCAGUGAAAUUGAACUCGCUGUGAAGAUGCAGUGUACCCGCGGCAAGACGGAAAGACCCCGUGAACCUUUACUAUAGCUUGACACUGAACAUUGAGCCUUGAUGUGUAGGAUAGGUGGGAGGCUUUGAAGUGUGGACGCCAGUCUGCAUGGAGCCGACCUUGAAAUACCACCCUUUAAUGUUUGAUGUUCUAACGUUGACCCGUAAUCCGGGUUGCGGACAGUGUCUGGUGGGUAGUUUGACUGGGGCGGUCUCCUCCUAAAGAGUAACGGAGGAGCACGAAGGUUGGCUAAUCCUGGUCGGACAUCAGGAGGUUAGUGCAAUGGCAUAAGCCAGCUUGACUGCGAGCGUGACGGCGCGAGCAGGUGCGAAAGCAGGUCAUAGUGAUCCGGUGGUUCUGAAUGGAAGGGCCAUCGCUCAACGGAUAAAAGGUACUCCGGGGAUAACAGGCUGAUACCGCCCAAGAGUUCAUAUCGACGGCGGUGUUUGGCACCUCGAUGUCGGCUCAUCACAUCCUGGGGCUGAAGUAGGUCCCAAGGGUAUGGCUGUUCGCCAUUUAAAGUGGUACGCGAGCUGGGUUUAGAACGUCGUGAGACAGUUCGGUCCCUAUCUGCCGUGGGCGCUGGAGAACUGAGGGGGGCUGCUCCUAGUACGAGAGGACCGGAGUGGACGCAUCACUGGUGUUCGGGUUGUCAUGCCAAUGGCACUGCCCGGUAGCUAAAUGCGGAAGAGAUAAGUGCUGAAAGCAUCUAAGCACGAAACUUGCC